RNAcentral lists this ribosomal RNA (520 nucleotides) under uncultured bacterium. Its description in RNAcentral is "bacterial SSU rRNA". It matches the Rfam family "Archaeal small subunit ribosomal RNA", at positions 345 to 866 of the family's 1478-position model. The record is from RNAcentral.
AAACUUCACACUGGGGGGAACCCCGAUGAGGGAAAUCCUAGUGCUAGGACAUUUGUUCUAGCUUUUCUCAAGCGUAGAUAACUUGAGGAAUAAGGGCUGGGUAAGACGGGUGCCAGCCGCCGCGGUAAUACCUGCAGCCCAAGUGGUGGUCGAUUUUAUUGAGUCUAAAACGUUCGUAGCCGGUUUGGUAAAUCUUUGGGUAAAUCGGGAGGCUCAACUUUCCGACUUCCGAAGAGACUGCCAAACUUGGGACCGGGAGAGGCUAGAGGUACUUCUGGGGUAGGGGUAAAAUCCUGUAAUCCUAGAAGGACCACCGGUGGCGAAGGCGUCUAGCUAGAACGGAUCCGACGGUGAGGGACGAAGCCCUGGGUCGCAAACGGGAUUAGAUACCCCGGUAGUCCAGGGUGUAAACGCUGCAGACUUGGUGUUGGAGGCAAUUCGGUUGCAUUCAGUGCCGGAGAGAAGUUGUUAAGUCUGCUACUUGGGGAGUACGUCCGCAAGGAUGAAACUUAAAGGAAUU